GGGGUUGUGGUUCAGUGGUAGAACGCUUGCCUAACACGUGGGAGGCCCUGGGUUCGAUCCUCAGCACCACA
RNAcentral lists this transfer RNA (71 nucleotides) under Marmota monax (woodchuck). RNAcentral's name for it is "tRNA.Val". It matches the Rfam family "tRNA". From Rfam's summary of the family: Transfer RNA (tRNA) molecules are approximately 80 nucleotides in length. Their secondary structure includes four short double-helical elements and three loops (D, anti-codon, and T loops). Further hydrogen bonds mediate the characteristic L-shaped molecular structure. tRNAs have two regions of fundamental functional importance: the anti-codon, which is responsible for specific mRNA codon recognition, and the 3' end, to which the tRNAs corresponding amino acid is attached (by aminoacyl-tRNA synthetases). tRNAs cope with the degeneracy of the genetic code in two manners: having more than one tRNA (with a specific anti-codon) for a particular amino acid; and 'wobble' base-pairing, i.e. permitting non-standard base-pairing at the 3rd anti-codon position. The record is from RNAcentral. Lineage: Eukaryota; Metazoa; Chordata; Mammalia; Rodentia; Sciuridae.